RNAcentral lists this small RNA (66 nucleotides) under Acididesulfobacillus acetoxydans. RNAcentral's name for it is "Peptococcaceae bacterium INE non-coding RNA". The record is from RNAcentral. Lineage: Bacteria; Bacillati; Bacillota; Clostridia; Eubacteriales; Peptococcaceae.
GUUUCAAUUCCUCAUAGGCAGGCUAUCGGCCGGUCGUAGGCGCUCCGCUUACCGUAGCUCCGACAG